Tupaia belangeri chinensis (Chinese tree shrew) is the source of this 975-nucleotide long non-coding RNA. RefSeq lists it as uncharacterized. Lineage: Eukaryota; Metazoa; Chordata; Mammalia; Scandentia; Tupaiidae. The record is from RefSeq and is a predicted model, not a curated record. The transcript is spliced from 3 exons.
UUGUACCAGGGACAGCAUGGAUCAUUCUCCCAUGAAUCCCUGGGAUUCAGCUCUUCCUCUGUUUCAGGAGGCCUGGCUUACUAUUGAGAUUCUUUUUUAAAAGUCUCUUGCUACCUUAGAGCUCCCUACAGUCUGAAGGGCCUCAGCCCCUCUAUCUUUCAGGCCUCAUGCUUUCAGGCACUGGGUUACCCUCCACCUUCCUAAUGGCUGGGUGUCACUAGGCUGGAACUGUGCCAAGCACAGCUCCUCUAUAGGGUCUGAACUUCAGAUAUAUAGGCCUCACCCAGACCAUGGGUCUAAGCUGUUCUCUCUCAUCCUGCUUUAUGAAAUAGCCCCCGACUCUUGGGGUUUAUCGGUCUGAAAACAGAACUGAUACUAUCAUGGCCACAUGGCCACCUUUUCUAGUCCUAGUCUCCAUUGCUUAGAACCUGGAGGGCUCUAACCCCUAGUCAUAGUCCCUCAGUUUCUCCCCUCCCAACUCUAAUGCCAAACAAAAUUUGAAUAAAUGAGGUUCCUAAAGAUACGCAGAGGGAAAAUGCAAGGAGAAAAUAAAACACAACCAUUAAUUCGGGAGGGAUGUGGUACUAGGAAUCAAAAAGAUAGGAGUAGUAGGAUAGAAGAAGCCAGAGGAGGUGAGAACUGAUCACAAGGAGCUUCCACAUGUGCUGAAGAGGUGGAAGGAGCUAAUGGCUGAAAAGACACCACAGCAUCAUGCACUGGAGAAGGGGGACUUUGUAACUUCAGUGAGAACGAUCUCUGUACCAUGAUCUGACUGCAAGGACCCAGCUGUGAAUGAAAUAAAUCUCUUAUGCCUAACACUCCCAGACCAAUACCAUUCUGGAGGAGUCCCACCCGCACCAUUCCCAGUAAUCACAAGAUGGCUGCUACACCGCAUCAGCUGAUGAUCACCUCUGCUUUCCCGAAACUGCAUUCCAUGGAGACCCACCUACAAUUGAGGAACUGCACUAGACCCAC